CUAUGUCGCUCAGGGUGCCCCACGACGGCCGUUCUACGUGUGCCCCACGAUCACAAACUCGCCAGUCUAAACAGUAGUCAGAGGUUAUGACUAAUACUAUUUAAUAGGUUACCCAUACUUACCAUAUUUGAAAUAGUAUUUUCGUUUAGUCCCCCUCAGUUACCCAUGUACAACUUAGUUAAAGCUCACCACAAUAAUCAGCGGUUAUGCUAGCACUACCUGUCUAGCCCCCCGACAGUUAUAUAACUACGUACAACUUAAUUAAAGCUGAGACAAUAACCAGCGGUUAUGACCAGUACUCUGACUAGCCCCCCAUAGUUACUGCAACUGAGUACAACUUAACUAAAGUCAAGCGGUUAGCCAGAAAUCUAAAACCUCACCUGAUGUGCCCCAUGCUCCAUCUAGCCUGAGUUUUAGUAUGCACUUAACCCUGGACGCAGAUUUGCGGAAACAUAGCCUUCACUUAAUCUACUUGAGGAAAUAAUUUCAGAGUAACUCAGAGUAAAUCAAAUGUAACAAUUUAUUAUCAGUCAGGUAAGUAUUAUGCCAAUUACAUAGCCAAUUCAGAGAUAUCAAAUUCUCAAAGGUGAAUCUAAGAGUAAAAGAUGCAUACCUGACUUUUAGAAAAAUACAUAAGUAUGAAGUGUGUGGACACACUUCAUGCUAAGGGCUCAUUCUG
Molecule: long non-coding RNA, 679 nt
Organism: Cyprinus carpio carpio
Lineage: Eukaryota; Metazoa; Chordata; Actinopteri; Cypriniformes; Cyprinidae
Source: Ensembl